CCCUCCUAUUUAUACCCCAUGAGCCCCCCCAUGGAGCCUUAGGUUUUGAUUAGAUAAAGUUUAGCCUUUGCUACUUUCGUGUAAUCGCGUGUGUCGGUUAGACCACCUGUUUUACCGUCAUCAAGACUCCAACUAUAUUGAGUAUUCAGAUUCGUGAACCUUCAUAUCUCCUAUUCGCAAUUUCAGAUUGCUUUUCAUCUUGUUCUUGCUUGUUCUUCGAUUGCUUGCAGGAACAAAGACCUUCGUGGUCAGGUUGAUCGUGCCCCCGCGGGAUCAAUAACCUUCUGGAGUUGGUGUAUCGAUUGCUAAGGCGCUGUCUCCUCGGUUAUAGUCGGAUCGUCAACGUCACCUUCUACCAAAUCGAUAAUUAGGUAUCUCAUCGAAAGAUCGGGACACCCUCGAGGCUAUCACGAAAAUAUCUCUCCCUCCUCCUUUAUAUACCCCAUGAGGCCCCCUAAGGAGCCUUGGGUUUUGAUUAGAUAAAGUUUAGCCAUCUUUGCUACUUUCGUGUAAUCGCGUGUGUCGCUUAGACCACCUGUUUUACCGUCGUCAAGACUCCAACUUAUCGUCUCGUUGAGACAUUGGUUUGAUAUAGUAUACUCGCAAUUUUAGAUUGCAUCCGCUAUUUAUCUUCUUCUUGCUUGUUCUUCGAUUGCUUGCAGGAACAAAGACCUUCAUGGUCAGGUUGAUCGUGCCCCCGCGUGAUCAAUAACCCUCUGGAGUUGGUGUAUCGAUUGCUAAGGCGCUGCCUCCUAGGCCGUAGUCGGAUCGUCAACGUCACCUCCUACCCAAAUCGAGAGUUAUCAAUCUCAUUGAAAGAUCGGGCCACCCCCACCCAUAUCACGUGGUAUCAGAGCUUAAGGUUGCUCGGUGAGAUUUUUCCAGUUUAUCCGUAGUUUAGAUCUGUUUUUACCUAUCAUCCAGAAAAAGCCAAACAAAAAUUAGAAUUAGUUACCUUGUCCUAAAACCAAUCUGAGCCUUGCAAAUUUCACUUUAGUAUUUGCAUUGUUGAAUCUUUGCUGCAUUAGUCGUGUCGAGUUGUUGGAUUAGAUUGGAUCGUUUUUCAGAUUUUUUCUACUAGAUCGAACUUGCUUUUGGUUUUCUUGUUCUUCGUGUGACGCAGGUUUCCUUCAUCAAUCUUCCGCCGCCAAACUUCCUGCCACACCACCGCCAUAAUCUCCCGCCGCCACCAUAUCUUCCACCGAGUCGCUCUUCGAGUCCUACACCGAGUCCCUCUUCGAGUCCUACACCGAGUCCCUCGUCGAGUCCUACACCGUGUCCUACAUCGAGUUCUACAUUGAGUCGGCAAGUUAUAGUUUUCAGCCGCAAGUUCGAGUCCGAGUCCAAUCAAGAGUGCUUUUGGAAAGUUUUCAUAAUAGAUUGAAUUUCGUUUAGAGAUCAUGUUGUUCGGAAAGUUGUCAAAAAAAAAGAAAGGAAAGAAAAAAAAGGAAAGAAAGAAAAAAAAAACGAAAAAAAAAAGAGAAAGAGUUCGAGUCAGUUUCGGACCCGAGUCCGAGUAGAAUUUUAGUUUCGGGUGGGUUUGACCCGUGUUCAGUAAAACGGGCGUAUCUUUUGCGUACUAACUCAGAUUUGGACGUUCUUGGACUUUUUGGAAAGGUCACGACGAGGUGCAUCAGGAAAUAUCCAGGGCGUUGCCCUGCACUUUGACCCUCAAAUUCGGUUUGUAAGGUGGACUUUUGAAACUUCCAAGUUUCUGCAUCCGUUUUCCAGCGUCGCUGCAGCCCGGUGUUUCUCAGUUUUCUCCACCGUCCGACAUCCGUUUUGAGUGAUCUUGCCCUUGCUGGAAAGCUUGUAUCGAUACCCUUCUAACCUAUAUUUUUCCAUAUUUUUCUGAAUUUUUCUUACUGCAGCCUUUGCGGUUCUUCGACAGACCGACGUACAGUUUUCCGGUCCUUCUUUUGCGGGAGUUUCUGGGGUUAAAAAAGAAAAAAGAAAAAAGAAGAACAAAAGAAUAAGAAGCCAAACAGAAGGCCACAAAAAGAAAAAAAAAGAAAAAAAAAUCCCAUGGAUUUACUUGUUGUGCCAUCUUUCUAUCCUACCUUCUUCAGUAUCUAGGCUUUGAUUAUUUCUGUAAUUCGUUCUUAUCGACUCCAGCAGCUAGGACUAGCAUUAUUGAGCAUAUUUUCAACUUUGCAUUGCUGAUUUGAUAUUUGCUAUUCCUUGCUACUCACAAAAGCCUCCAAGCUCCACAGAUUCUACACCUAGGUUGGUUUGUUACCGAGGCAUCGAUACAUUUAAUAUUCGAAGGGCUUGAUCACGCCGCUGGCCAUCACCUUCCUGUUUUGCAUGGUAAGAACUUGUAAGAACUUGAUUUUUAGCUUGAGAGUUGAGCGACUUGUAGCCACAUCCUAGUAGUUGAUAGGAACAUAUUACUGUGAUUUGUUUCUUGUUUUCUACUAACCAUGACAGGACUUACACGAAGCAUGGCAACUAGACCGAUGCUAUCCCGUGACCGUGAUGAGUUCUUUUCACCACGGCCAUCCUCCAUGUCUCUUGUUGAUAAUGCCACGGCAACGGUACAAAACAAUCCUUCUAAUACAAUUAAAUUGUGUGUACCUUUCUUUGAGGGGGAAAAUGAUGCUGAAACGUAUAUAGAUUGGGAGCUAGCUUUAACUGAACAAUUCACAUGCUUCCAUGUACUAGAUAGUCGUAAGGUCCAAAUUGCUAGUAGUAAAUUUCGUUUUGAUGCAUUAUCAUGGUGGUGUGAGAUAGUUAGAAAAAACAAAAUACCUCACACUUGGAUUGAUAUGAAGAAAAUCAUGAGAGAAAAAUAUGUUCCUCCAAGUUAUGCUUAUGAGUUGCGUUCCAAAUUACGACGUUUGACACAAGAUGAUAAAACUGUUGAUGAUUAUUACCAUGAGUUCCAAAUUUUAACCUUGCGAUCUGGUUUAGAUGAAACCGAAAAAAGAAAAAUGGAUAGGUUUUAUUGUGGGCUUAACUUUGAUAUUUCUUACAUAAUUGAAUACGGAAAAUACGACUCUCUAUUGUGUUUGCUUCAUCUUGCUUGUGAAGCGGAGAGGAAAUUGGAGAGAAGGUAUACAAGAAACGUGUUGAGCCUACAAGGUAAUGAUAAAGAUGAUUGUGUUGCUGAACAAAAUAUGACAUGUGAAGAAAUAAAUGAGAUACCCGUUGAAUUUUCUGCACCAUGUGAAAUUGUUGAUUUACAUGCCGAUUUGAGUGCACCUACUGCUGAAAUUAAUUCUUCUAAUGAUUUUGAAUGCACAUAUUAAUUUUGAUUUUGAUGAGAAUGAAUCAUGUGAGGAAAUAACUAAUUUUUGGGAGAAACAUGUGAUGUAGAUAAAUUUGGUUUAGGUUGUGUCGACUUAAUUACACAUGGAGUGAUUGAGAACGAUCCACCUAUUAAUUCUUUGUGUUAUAUUGCACUUGAUAGUCCCGUGUAUUUGUCGCAUGCAAUGGAUAAACUGUGUGAGUUAACAAUUUCGAAAUCUUUUGCUGUUCAUGGAUACAUAAUUCAUUUAAUUGGACAACAUGAUGUGAACAAUAACAUUUUGGUGCAUGAGAUUUGCAUUACUUGUGAUAAUUUUCCUCUCUUGGGAGAAAAGAAAUUUUUGCACAUGCUUAAUCAUUUUGAUAGGACCUCCAAUAUAGGUGUUGAUUAUUUGCCAAAUAGUUAUUUACAUGCUUGUUUGAAUAUUAGUGCUUUGACUUGCUCUAAAUUUCAGCAUAUUGUAGUAACUAAUUUGGAUACUAUUCAUUAUUAUUCUCCAAUGUUGGGAUGGUGUAAUGGUGAGCAGUGCAAACCAAAUACAAGAAAUCGUUUCGCUUAUAAAUGCAAACAAUUUUGUCAAUCUUCUUGCUGGAAUGUUAUUCAUCAUGAUUGUUUGACUAAUUAUCUCAUGAGACUUUGUUAUAAAAGAUUAAUUGUGCAAGAAAGGAGAUGUAUAAAGAUGGAUGACAUAUACAUAUACCAUGCACACACUUUGUCUAUUUUGUCAGUCUCUUUACAGCACAAACGACGCCGAGGACGGCUUUCCUUUCAAGAAAGUGAAAUGGACAUGCUAACCAUGGACCCUCAAUUCUAUAAUAUUUGACAAGAUUUAUAAUCAGGUGAAUUCAAGUAGUAAUUGUUUUCAUUGUCAUAUUUAUGAAGAGACGUAGCUACUACUAUCUUGUCUCGUUUUAUUACGUAGGCAUCUUGUCGAGCUUUUCAUGUCCAAGGUCAAGAUGAGAUACGAUGGAGGCGAACGGGAGGGCCAACAAGAAUCAAGCAUUCAUACAGCUGAGAGGGAAGGAUUUAAAGUGUACUUUCCAACAAAUCAAACGGCACAUGAUUCGGAGCUUGCUAGAGAAAGAUAUCACGAAUUAAAGUUGAAUCCGAUUCGGGUCCGAGCUGUCAGGAGACCCGAAUUUGUUUUAAUCACCCAGGCCGCAUCCGGAGUCCAAAUCAAGCAAACAAGUACUUGUUGGAAAGGUAAUUACAAGACCUUUCCAACGGAUCUGGCCCCAUCAAGAGAUUCGACUCGUGCUGACCGUGGCGGACAAAACAAGCUGACGGAUCUGUUUUUCUAUUUCCUAAAGAGUUGUAGUUUGUUAGGAAAGUUAGAGAUAGAGUUGGGUUUCGGACUCCUUAUUCAAGGUGGACGAAAAUAUCUCUCCCUCCUCCUUUAUAUACCCCAUGAGCCUCCCUAAGGAGCCUUGGGUUUUGAUUAGAUAAAGUUUAGCCAUCUUUGCUACUUUCGUGUAAUCGCGUGUGUCGGUUAGACCACCUGUUUUACCGUCGUCAGGACUCCAACUUAUCGUCUCGUUGAGACAUUGGUUUGAUAUAGUAUACUCGCAAUUUUAGAUUGCAUCUGCUAUUUAUCUUGUUCUUGCUUGUUCUUCGAUUGCUUGCAGGAACAAAGACCUUCAUGGUCAGGUUGAUCGUGCCCCCGCGUGAUCAAUAACCGUCUGGAGUUGGUGUAUCGAUUGCUAAGGCGCUGCCUCCUAGGCCGUAGUCGGAUCGUCAACGUCACCUCCUACUCAAAUCGAGAGUUAUCAAUCUCAUCGAAAGAUCGGGCCACCCCCACCCAUAUCAGAAAGGGAGGAUGAUAUGGACAUGCUAACCAUGGAUACGACCAUUAGAACUCUAAUUGUUGGUGUCUCUAAUAAUUAUAAUCAGGUGAAUUCAAUUACAAAAUGUUUUCAAUAUGUUAUUUGCAAAGAGGCGGAGCUACUAUCUUGUGUAAUCUUAUUAUGUAGGCAUCUUAUUGAACUUUACAAGUCCAAAGUGAAAAUGAAGUGUUAUAGCCUGCAAAGGGAGAUUCAAAGUGAAGCUUAUCAAGUCUACUUUCCAACAAAUCAAACGGCACAUGAUUCGGAGCUUGUUAGAGAAAGAUAUCACGAAUUAAAGUUGAAUCCGAUUCGGGUCGGAGCUGUCAGGAGACCCGAAUUUGUUUUAAUCACCCAGGCCGCAUCCGGAGUCCAAAUCAAGCAAACAAGUACUUGUUGGAAAGGUAAUUACAAGACCUUGCCAACGGAUCUGGCCCCAUCAAGAGAUUCGACUCGUGCUGACCGUGGCGGACAAAACAAGCUGACGGAUCUGUUUUUCUGUUUCCUAAAGAGUUGUAGUUUGUUAGGAAAGUUAGAGAUAGAGUUGGAUUUCGGACUCCUUAUUCAAGGUGGACGAAAAUAUCUCUCCCUCCUCCUUUAUAUACCUCAUGAGCCCCCCUAAGGAGCCUUGGGUUUUGAUUAGAUAAAGUUUAGCCUUUGCUACUUUCGUGUAAUCGCCUGUGUCGGUUAGACCACCUGUUUUACCAUCAUCAAGACUCCAACUAUAUUGAGUAUUCAGAUUCGUGAACCUUCACAUCUCCUAUUCGCAAUUUCAGAUUGCUUUUCAUCUUGUUCUUGCUUGUUCUUCGAUUGCUUGCAGGAACAAAGACCUUCGUGGUCAGGUUGAUCGUGCCCCCGCGGGAUCAAUAACCUUCUGGAGUUGGUGUAUCGAUCGCUAAGGCGCUGCCUCCUAAGUUGUAGUCGGAUCGUCAACGUCACCUCCUACCAAAUUGAUAAUUAGGUAUCUCAUCGAAAGAUCGGGACACCCUCGAGGCUAUCAGUCCGUCCUAGUGAGGGACCAUGGCUAGCGAGUUCGUACAAGUGGUCAAGUCUUGUUUCGCUUCGAUGAGUAGAUUUGUUUGGUUUGCUCGCCCUAGUACCUCAAACGGGCACGUUCCGGAUCAAAGUUUAGCACCGACUCCGAUUUGCCGAAUUGUCCGCCCUAGUAAGGGACCAUGCCUAGCAAGUCUGUACAAGUGGUCUAGUCUUGUUUCGCUUCGAUGAGUAGCUUUUCUUUGUGUGCUCAUCCUUGUGGCGACCCAGACCCGUAAGGAUCCGGACCUCUGUGUAAACUGUGCUAGUCCCUGGAUCAAAUGCUAGCACACACAGUUCCAUUGAUGAAAUAUCAUACACAUGUCUAUUACAUCGGUUUGAUUAACAAAUCCAGAGUACUUAAUACAAGCCAAGCGGAAGUUCAAAUAAAAACACACUGAUAAAGAGGGAGUCCCAUCAACGCCACAGGCAAGUUGAGUGUAGACUCGCGACCCUGCGUCUUCUUCUUAAGCGUCACACUCUGCACAUGAUAGGUGCAGGUCAGUACAUUGAAUGUACUUGCAAGUCACACCUGUGUGGUUAGGAGGAAUGCAUGGAAAUGAUGUAGGAUUUCCUAGUUUGGCUACUAGGGUUGUUUUUGCAAAAUACUGCUUUUGGGGUUUCGAAAUACUCAUAGUAUUUUCCUUUGAAAAUCUCUAUCCUGAAGUUUUGAUAAAACAGGGUUUGAACAAUAGUACGGUCAUUCUGUGGAUGUUCACUCCACGACCUAGCUAUGCACUCUGGGUCAACUGACUCUCACAUAGCAUCCAUUUUUCCUGACUCAUUCUGUGGAACCUUCCAUCGAGUCAAAACAGUUUUGGGGUUUUUGAAAACAAAACUUGAAGAUCUCCACUUCUCCUGACUUAAUGACUCAAAGUCGCCCGUAACCAGGGGCAUGGCUAAUCGAUUAGAUUGACACUCUCGAGAGGUUUGUACACUUUACCCACUUGACACAAUCAGUCCAAAGUGUUGCCUGACGACAAGCGUGCGCAACAGAUAAAGAUUGUGACGAAGUCUUUCACUAGAAGCCCCCUGAUACCUAAUUCUGGCACCGCCCGCCCCAUAUGUGCACAUUGGCUCCUCUCCGGAUGGCGAUACCCAGGUAAGGGUUUCCCGCUAGUUAGUCGACCAAGCCAGAGCCCAUAAUAGCAAGUGGUUGCACAUGAAGCUUUUGGGUACAUGAGAAGGUUUGAACUCUUGGAUUUCUGGACAGCGGUCCCCACCUUCUCCUGAGCGUGUACCCGUUACGGGGCUACAACACUUGCCGACAGCCAACUGGCCUCCCUCAUACCACUCCAUCCAGAUAAAACAAUUUGGUUUUGUUUCGAAAACAUUUUUCCAAAAACAUACUCGCUCAUAAAGAGCACUUAGUACUUUGCAAUAUAGUUUGGGUCCCGUCCCGUUAUAAUAGUAUAGCAUGCUUUGGAAAAAUGUAUGUACAUAACCUAUGGUAUUUGGUGGCAUGGCAAUAUAUCCUAUAAGCAAUCUAUUAGGAAUAACUAAACAUGUUGAAAACGCAUUUGAUAAAUACUUCGUAAAGAAAUAACUCUAACAUGCAUCCCUAGGAUGUUGUUAACAAAAUAGCAUAAGCAAAAAUAUAGGUUCUACAUGGUCAAUAAGUGUAACUUGCCUGGAUCAGAGAAGUUGUUGCGGUCGUCAACUCCCUGGCACUCUUCGCAAUCGCAAUCCGAAUAAUCUAACGCGAAGAACGAAACAACAAUAAAUGCAUAGUUCCAAACAUCUCUCAAAGACCAAAUAUAACUCCAAAUAAACUUCGGAUAUAUCACAAGCAUACAAAAACAGAACCUAAACAUCAUCUAAGUAAUACCAUAGUAUUAACAAUUCCAGUUCUAAAGCCUAAGGUUAAGGCUAGUGUGGCUAAGUCUGAAAAAUUCAGAAAUAUGCUACUGUUAACAGAUAGCAACUAGGAUUGACAGGUAAUAGGUGCUAAAGUUCAGAACAUGACAUGAAACCUAUGCUACAGUAUAGUUCUAGGGUUGUACUAACUAACGCAACAGGUUUCAGGUCAAUUGGAUAAACAGGUCAAAAGCUACUGGCUUGCAAAGGUGGCUAGUCAGAUUCUGAAAGACAAAAAUACUAACUUGUACUGAAAAGCUACUGGUGCUAAACUAUUCCAAUGACAGAGAACUAAACAAAGAAAUCCAAGAAUAUGAUCUACUCUUUCAAAUGGCACUGGUUUCACUAACUAUGGAGCUAUGAGGCAGUAGCUAUGAACAGGUGAAUGUGGCUACUCUAAAACAGAACAUAAUAGGAUAUGAACUUCUACCGUCGUGCUGCUAGUGAAGGUGAAGUUGAAAUGAUCGAACUAGAAAAUGGCUGUGAAGGGGUGUUCCUAAAGUUCAAUCUACAAAAAGAAACAACUAAAAUGAUGCUACGGGCAACAACGAGAACUACUGCGAAUAAGGCUACCCCCUAAGAAUGAUGCUGCAACUUUCUGCCGCGGCAGAGAUACGGCAGAGAAACUGAUUAGAAUACCAUUUUGCGACGACGAUGCAAAGCAAUAGAUGAACCAUCUACGGCUAAUGUCUACAGAGAAUUUGUAGAGGAACAUUCACUCUACAAAAUGGUGAAAUCUAGAGCACAUAAUGAUCAUUGGUUUGAUAGCAAACGAUGCCUAAACAGAGCUAACCGAAGAACAACAGCUGCAGUGAACUUAAAACAAGUUCAUACCCAAAUCCUCCCGGAAAUGAACGAUUCGACGAAUCGGGACUCGGGGAAGAAAAUGAAGAGUUGGGGGAGCUUCACGGCGUCGCAAGGAUCACUAGGGCGGUGGCGGCUCGGCGAACGGGGCAGCGCAGCUCCGGCAAUUUCUCGCCGGAGUUGGGCGGCGGCGGCGGUUUUGGCCGGAAUUUGGGGGCGCGUGGGCGGCAGAGAGCGUGGGCGGGCGAGGGAGUGCGCGAGAGGGGGCGCGGGGUGCUUUAUAGGGCUCGGGGCGCGUGGGCGGGCUGGCCGGCGGUUACCGCGCGACGUGGGGUCGUGGCGCGUGCGGCGACAGCGGUUGUGCAGGCGCGCGCGUGGCCAGGCGCGGGCGCGGGCCAACGCGGGCAUGCGCGGGCGCGCGGGCAGGGGCGCGAGGGCAUGCGCAGGCGCGCGCGGGCGAGCGGCCGGCGCGGCCAGCGACGGCGCGGGCGGCGCGGCCGUCGGCGGGGUCAGCGCGGCCCAACGGGCAGGCGGGCAUGCACGGCAAGCAGCGGCGGCGCGAGCGGCGGAGGUGAGGGAUGACAGGUGGACCCCACCUGUCAGUGAGAGAGAGAAGAGAUUGAAAGCGUAUUUCCUGGUAAUACGUUCCCCUGCGGUGAACGCGUAUUUCCUGAGAAUACGCUUCCCUGCGGAGAAAGCGUAUUUUCAGAGAAAAAGAAAAAGAAUAAAAGAAAAAAGAUGAAAAUUACUUUUCAGGAUCUAUAAUUCACCCGAAAUUCCAUUUAAAUCAUUUAAAAUAUCAAAUGGCUUCCGAAAAAUUCCCAAAAAUUCUGUAAAAUAAUAUAUUUCAUUUAGAGUCCAGUAAAAUUAUUCUCACUCAAAAAUAAAUUUGUAAUAAUAUUUUUUUAUGUUUCUAAGCUUUAAAUAAAUCCAAAAAAAAUCUUAGAAUGCAUUUUUAGACUCUAGAAAAAUCUCGAAUCAAUUUCUAACAACCUAUCACGUUCCAAAACACCGUUUCAAAUACUUUCAAUAAUGCAUCAUAAUAAACACCAAUAUUUUAUGAUAUGAUCAAGGUGAUAUGCAUAAGAAAUGUAAAGGUGCGAACAUCCGAAUUUGAAAAUUUUUGGGAUGUUACAAUCCUAGUGCCCGAAAUGGACCUAAGUCAGAGUAGAAGUUUAGCACCGAGUCUGAUCUGGCCGAAUUGUCCGCCUUAAUGAGGGACCAUGCCUAGCGAGACCGUACAAGUGGUCUGGUCUUGUUUCGCUUCGAUGAGUAGAUUUGUUUGGUUUGCUCAUCCUUAUACCUCAAACGGGCCCGUUCCGGAUCAAAGUUUAGCACGCACUCCGAUUUGGCCGAAUUGUCCGCCCUAGUGAGGGACCAUGCCUAUCUAGUCCGUGCAAGUGGUCUAAUCUUGUUUCGCUUCGAUGAGUAGCUUUGUUUGGUGUGCUCAUCUUAUAACGCCAAACGGACCCGUUCCGGAUCAAAGUUUAGCACCGACUACGAUUUGCCGAAUUGUUCGCCCUAGUGAGGGACCAUGCCUAGCUAGUCCGUACAAGUGGUCUAGUCUUGUUUCGCUUCGAUGAGUAGAUUUGUUUGGUUUGCUCGUCCUAGUACCUCAUGCGGGCAAGUUCCGGAUCAAAGUUUAGCACCGAGUCCGAUUUGGCCGAAUUGUCCACCCUAGUGAGGGACCAUGCCUAGCAAGUCCGUACAAGUGGUCUAGUCUUGUUUCGCUUCGAUGAGUAGCUUUGUUUGGUGUUCUCAUCUUAUAACGCCAAACCGACCCGUUCCGGAUCAAAGUUUAGCACCGACUACGAUUUGCCGAAUUGUCCGCCCUAAUGAUGGACCAUGGCUAGCGAGUCCGUGCAAGUGGUCUAGUCUUCUUUCACUUCGAUGAGUAUCUUUGUUUCGUGUGCUCAUUCUAGUACCCGAAAAUGACCUAAGUCAGAGUAGAAGUUUAGCAACGAGUCCUAUCUGGCCGAAUUCUCCGCCCUAAUGAGGGACCAUGCCCAGCGAGUCCGUACACGUGGUCUAGUCUUGUUUCGCUUCGAUGAGUAGAUUUGUUUGGUUUGCUCAUCUUAUAACGCCAAACGGACCCGUUCCGGAUCAAAGUUUAGCACUGACUCCGAUUUGGCCGAAUUGUCCGCCCUAGUGGGGGACCAUGCCUAUCUAUCCGUACAAGUGGUCUAAUCUUGUUUCGCUUCGAUGAGUAGCUUUGUUUGGUGUGCUCAUCUUAUAACGCCAAACGGACCCGUUCCGGAUCAAAGUUUAGCACCGACUCUGAUUUGCCGAAUUGUCCGCCCUAGUGAGGGACCAUGCCUAACUAGUCCGUACAAGUGGUCUAGUCUUGUUUCGCUUCAAUGAGUAGAUUUGUUUGGUUUGCUCCUCCUAGUACCUCAUACAGGCAAGUUCCGGAUCAAUGUUUUGCUUUGGCACCGACUCCGAUUUGGUCGAAUUGUCCGUCCUAGUGAGGGACCAUGCCUAGCUAGUCCGUACAAGUGGUCUACUCUUGUUUCGCUUCGAUGAGUAGCUUUGUUUGGUGUGCUGAUCUUAUAACGCAAAACGGACCCGUUGCCGAUCAAAGUUUAGCACCGACUCCUAUUUGCCGAAUUGUCCGCCCUAGUGAGGGACCAUGCCUAGCGAGUCCGUACAAGUGGUCUAGUCUUGUUUCGCUUCGAUGAGUAGCUUUGUUUGGUGUGCUCAUCUUAUAACGCCAAACAGACCCGUUCCGGAUCAAAGUUUAGCACCGACUCCGAUUUGCCGAAUUGUCCGCCAUAUUGAGGGACCAUGCCUAGCGAGUCCGUACAAGGGGUCAAGUCUAGUUUCGCUUCGAUGAGUAGAUUUGUUUGGUUUGCUUAUCCUAGUACCUCAAACGGGCCCGUUCUGGAUCAAUGUUUCGCACCGACUGAGGUGUCGCCGAAUUGUCCACCCUUGUGAGGAACCAUGCAUAGAGUCCGUACACGUGGUCUAGUCUUGUUUCGCUUCGAUGAGUAGCUUUGUUUGGUGUGCUGAGCAUAUAACGCCAAACGGGCCCGUUGCGGAUCUGAUACGGGUGCGGGUGGCCCGAUCUUUCGAUGAGAUUGGUAACUCUCGAUUUGGGUAGGAGGUGACGUUGACGAUCCGACUACGGCCUAGGAGGCAGCGCCUUAGCAAUCGAUACACCAACUCCAAAGGGUUAUUGAUCUCGCGGGGGCACGAUCAACCUGACCACGAAGGUCUUUGUUCCUGCAAGCAAUCGAAGAACAAGCAAGAACAAGAUAAAUAGCGGAUGCAAUCUAAAAUUCCGAAUAUACUAUAUCAAACCAAUGUCUCAACGAGACGAUAAGUUGGAGUCUUAACGACGGUAAAACAGGUGGUCUAACCGACACACGCGAUUACACGAAAGUAGCAAACAUGGCUAAACUUUAUCUAAUCAAAACCCAAGGCUCCUUAGGGGGGAUCAUGGGGUAUAUAAAGGAGGAGGGAGAGAUAUUUUCGUCCACCUUGAGUAAGGAGGCCGAAAUCCAACUCUAUCUCUAACUUUCCUAACAAACUACAACUCUUUAGGAAACAGAAAAACAGAUCCGUCAGCUUGUUUUGUCCGUCACGGUCAGCACGAGUCGAAUCUUUUGAUGGGGCCAGAUCCGUUGGAAAGUCUUGUAAUUACCUUUCCAACAAGUACUUGUUUGCUUGAUUUGGACUCCGGAUGCGGCCUGGGUGAUUAAAACAAAUUCGGGUCUCCUGGCAGCUCGGACCCGAAUCGGAUUCAACUUUAAUUCGUGAUAUCUUUCUCUAGCAAGCUCCGAAUCAUGUGCCGUUUGAUUUGUUGGAAAGUACACUUGAAAUCCUUCCCUCUCAGCUGUAUGAAUGCUUGAUUCUUGUUGGCCCUCCCGUUGGCCUCCAUUGUAUCUCAUCUUGACCUUAGACUUGAAAAACUCGACAAGAUGCCUACGUAAGAAAACGAGACAAGAUAGUAGUAACUCUGCCUCUUCAUAAAUAUGACAAUGAAAACAAUUACUACUUGAAUUCACCUGAUUAUAAAUCUUGUCAAAUAUUAUAGAAUUGAGGGUACCAAAGGUCGUAUCCAUGGUUAGCAUGUCCAUAUCAGGGGAAGUGGUAGAGGAGUUCGGAGGCUUCAAUAUGACGCGCGGGGUUUCGAAUUUGUUUGUUCGUGCGCGAAGAAAUCGGAACGGAAUCGUGGGUGACUCGGAGUCAUUCGUGGCCAAGCUUCUCGAGCAGUCGGUUGGAGAAGAAGAUGAGCGCGGGUCCCAGCGGUCAGUGAGAGCGGGCCGGCCGGUUUGGGCUGGGCCGGUCCGGUCCGGUUUGACCGGUUUUUCCUUUUCUUUUGUCUAUUUUCUGUUUUUGAACCUCAAAAUUGAUUCGAAGCUCCAAAUCACUCCAAAUAAAUUGCAACAAAAAAUUGUAAAAUCAUAUUUUCAUAUGAUCUAACUUUUGGAACAAUAAUUUUCUCAAAAUAAAAUAUUUAAAAAUACAUUUGCCUAUAAAAUGGCUUUUAGGGCCCUUAGGCUAUCGAAACAAAUUAUUUUUCAAAAUACUUUCAAAAGUCAAUUUAUGGGAUAGCUCUAUAUAUGCAUUAAAUCCCUUUUUACCACAAUACUCUCAUGGGUUAAAGUGCAAAUACUCAAAAGCAAGAUUAAAGCCUAAAAUCAAAUAAAGGCAUAUUUGCAAAAGGGUUUUCUGGGCAAAUUUUCGGGUUAUGAAAGUGAUCAAAUGCAAGGGUGACAUGAUGCUUAUGAUAUGCAAUGCAUAUGAAGAGUUUUGAAAAUUGGGAUGUUACAGAUUUAACCCCCUUAAGAUGAAUCUCGUCCUCGAGAUUCCUGUUGGUAAGCAAAAAGGUGUGGGUGGUCUUCUGGAAGAUCAUCCUCGCGUUCCCACGUAGCUUCUUCUUCGGUGUGGUGAUUCCAUUGAACCUUGCAGAACUUGAUUGUCUUGGAACGGGUAUGUCUUUCCGCUGUUUCCAAGAUCCUGAUUGGUUUCUCUUCAUAUGUGAGAUCGCUUUGAAUCUCCACUUCGUCAAGUGAAACUGUAUCCCUUAGUGGCGUAUCGGCCAUUUCCGGGUGACACUUCUUUAACUGUGACACGUGGAAAACGUCGUGGACACUUGUCAACUUUUCAGGUAACUCCAACUUGUAAGCAACCUCUCCUUGGCGUGCUAGAACCUUGUAGGGUCCAAUAUAGCGUGGCGCUAGUUUUUCUUUAAUCCCAAAUCUCUUAACUCCGCGUAUCGGGGAAACUCUGAGAUACGCUCUGUCACCAAUCUCGUUGAUGACAUCCCUUCGUUUGGAAUCUGCAUAAAUCUUUUGCCUGGAUUGAGCUAUCUUGAGUCUGUCUUGAAUCAGUCUGACCUUCUCUUCAGCGUCCUUUAUCAUAUCAGGUCCGAAUAGACUACGGUCUCCUAUACCAUCCCAUAGCAAAGGUGUCCUGCACUUCUUGCCAUACAAAGCUUCGAAUGGUGCCAUUCCAAUACUCGCUUGAAAACUGCUGUUGUAUGAGAACUCUGCAUAUGGUAGAUUCUCAUCCCAGCUAGAACCAUAGUCUAGAGCGCAAGCUCUUAACAUAUCCUCGAGAAUUUGGUUCACUCUUUCUGUUUGUCCAUUUGUCUGUGGGUGAAAUGUUGUGCUAAACUCUAGUCUCGUGCCUAGAGACUCGUGCAAUUGUCCCCAAAAUCUUGAGGUAAAUUGGGUACCUCUGUCUGAAACGAUCUCUUUAGGAACUCCAUGUAGGCAUACAAUCCUAGACAUGUAUCGUUUGGCCAACUGUGCACUUGUAUAAGUAGUCUUCACAGGUAUGAAAUGGGCAACUUUGGUCAAACGGUCAACUACUACCCAUAUUGAAUCAUAACCAGACCUUGUCCUUGGUAAGCCGGUGAUGAAGUCCAUGCCUACCUUAUCCCAUUUCCAGUCUGGCACUGGCAAUGGUCGUAGUAAUCCAGCUGGUUUCUGAUGUUCAGCCUUGACUCUACUACAAACAUCACAUAGAGCGAUAUACUCAGUGAUGUCUCGCUUCAAUCCAGUCCACCAAAAAUUUUCUUUCAAGUCCAUGUACAUCUUUGUAUUACCGGGAUGGAUUGAGUACGGUGAAUCAUGAGCUUCUUGUAGUAUUAGCUUUCUGAUCUCGGGAUCUUGUGGUACACAAAUACGCUUCUCAAACCAUACGGUACCUUGAUCGUCCUCAACGAAUCCUUUUGCCUUCUCAAUCGCCAUAUUAUCCUUUAUCGUUCUAAUUUCUGAGUCUUCUUUCUGGGCUUCUCUAAUUCUGUCCAGUAGAGUGGGUUGUACCUCCAUGUUGGCUAAGUAACCUUCCGGGACUAUCUCCAAUCUGAGGUCUUUGAAUUGCUCACACAAUUCAGCAGGUAACUCUCCAGCUGUAAGUUCAUUAACAUAGCCCUUGCGGCUCAAAGCGUCAGCUACUACGUUAGCCUUGCCUGGAUGGUAUUGAAGAUUCAGAUUAUAAUCCUUGAUUAACUCUAACCAUCUUCUUUGUCUCAAGUUCAAUUCUUUCUGCGUGAAUAUAUACUUCAAGCUCUUGUGAUCGGUGAAUAACUCACAUUGCUUUCCCAUGAGAUCGUGCCUCCAAGUCUUGAGUGCGUGCACUACAGAUGCUAGUUCCAAAUCAUGAGUGGGGUAAUUUCUUUCAUGAUUCUUUAGUUGUCUUGAGGCGUAUGCUACGACUCUUCCUCCUUGCAUCAAAACACAUCCCAAUCCUAGACGCGAAGCGUCACAGUACACUUGAAAGUCUUCCAGUAAGUUGGGUAAAACGAGGAUGGGUGCUGAUACUAGCCUCUUCUUCAAAUCCUGAAAACUUUCCUCACAUUUAUCAGUCCAUUCAAACUUCUUUUCUUUCUUCAAAAGCUCGGUCAUAGGUUUGGCUAUCUUGGAGAAAUUCUCUAUGAACCUCCUGUAAUAUCCAGCAAGUCCUAGGAAGCUGCGAACAUCUCCGACGUUCUUAGGGACUUCCCAUUCAGUCACCGCUGCUACUUUAGCGGGGUCGACGGCAAUUCCAUUUCCUGACACAAUGUGUCCCAAGAAACCAACUUUGGACAACCAAAAUUCACACUUGCUGAAUUUUGCAUAAAGCUUGUGCUCUCUAAGCUUUUCCAUGAUCAGACGCAAAUGUUCUUCAUGUUCUUCUUCUUUGCUCUUCGAGUAGAUCAAAAUGUCGUCGAUGAAUACUACGACAAACCUAUCCAAAUAUUCCAUGAAUACCUUGUUCAUCAUAUUCAUGAAGUAUGCCGGGGCAUUGGUUAAUCCAAAAGGCAUCACUGUGUACUCAUACAGGCCAUACCUAGUGGUAAAUGCUGUUUUGGGUAUAUCCACUUCUCGGAUCUUUAACUGAAAAUAACCUGAUCGAAGAUCGAUCUUUGAGAAAACACAGGCUCCUUUCAAUUGAUCAAAUAGAUCAUUGAUUAUGGGUAGUGGGUACUUGUUCUUUAUCGUCACUUCAUUCAGUGAACGAUAGUCUAUGCACAUCUUUUGGCUCUUGUCUUUCUUUUCCACAAAUAGAACAGGUGCUCCCCAUGGUGAUGAGCUAGGGCGAAUAAAUCCUUUGGCCAACUGUUCUGCAAGUUGCUUCUUCAGCUCUUUCAAUUCAUCUACGGCCAUCUUAUAUGGUCUCUUGGCUAUAGGUCCACUUCCGGGCAAUAACUCGAUAAGAAAUUCCACAUCUCGGUCUGGUGGCAUGCCUGGUAAUUCCCCUGGAAAUACAUCCGGAUAUUCUUUCACUAUCGGUACAUCCUCUAGGCUAACCCCCUUAAGAGAAUUUACCUUGGGUAAUUUAAGCUCAUAGUUUGACUUGAAGCGGAUUCGCUUCUUCUCUGGAGUUGUGAGUGUGAUUGUCCUCUUGACACAAUCUAUAAGUCCUUCAUACUUGGCUAACCAAUCCAUUCCUAGUAUCAGAUCCAAACCUUUUGAUCCCAACACUAUCAGGUCUGUGGGGAAAUUGUGUUUUCCAAUUACUAGUGUUAGCAUUCGGCAUUCACAAGCCGUUAUCAUCUCUCCCCCAGGUGACUUCACCUUCAUAGGGUUCACUAAGGUACUAGUGUUUAAUCCAUUCUCAUGAACAAAACUCCUUGAGAUAAAAGAAUGCGAUGCACCGGUAUCAAACAGUACGAGUGCUUCAAAAGAAUUUAGACGGAAGGUGCCGAUUACGAUACCUUGCUCCUCCGUGAUUUCUUCCACGUUGACGUGGUUCACAUUGCCCUUCUGAAAUGGGUUGGGCUUUGCUCCAGCCUCAUUGAACUUCUCCGGACAAUCAUUGGAGUAGUGCCCCAUCUUGUGACACUUAAAGCAUUGCACUUGGCUCAUAUCCCUGCCAGUGGUGCGGUUCUGUCCUGGGUUUCCUCCAUUGUUAUGGCCACUGCCUUUGUUGCUGUUGAUCCUUGGAUGCUGGUGCUGGUGGUGGUGCUGGUGGUUCCGGCUGCCAUUUCCUCCCUGGUGGUGAUGGUGUCCUUGAUUUCCAUGGCGAUGAUAGUGUCCACUCCCUUCAUGGUGACUCUGAUGAUUUCCACCAUGCUUAACCAUCGAAGAGCUGCCACUAACCUCGUACGAAGUGCGCGGCUUCUGGUGUGGUCCACCAUGGUUGUUGCCAGGGUGAGGCCUCUUCCUUCUGUUCUCCAUCUGAUUCUGCUUGUUCUCCAGAAUGAUGGCUUUGUCCAUGAGGGAUUGGUAUGUAGGGAUGUAAACAACUGCUAGUUGAACGGCGAGUUCGUCGUUCAAGCCAUCCAAAAACCUUUCCCGGCGUUUUGCAUCAGUGUUGACGUCAUCCGGGGCAUAACGAGACAACUUGUUGAAGGUCUCGAUAUAUUCUGACACAGUCCUGUUCCCUUGCCUCAGUUUGUGGAACUCCCUCUUCUUCAAGCUCAGCACGCCCGCAGAGAUGUGGGCGGUGCGGAAGGCAUCUUGGAACAUUUCCUAUGUUACCUCUUCCAUGGGUGUAGUGAUUUGAUAAGUCUCCCACCAAGCUGCGGCGGGUCCUUCAAGCAGGUGAGCAGCAAACCUCACCUUGUCAGCUUCAUUGCAGCCAACUGUCACUAGGCAUUUACAAUCGGUUCCGGGGAGCUGGUGAAUGUUGGUGGACGCAGCCUCAGAAACCUGGUUAACAUGUCCACUUGAGGUGGUGGGUUGGGGUUCUGGUUGUUGUGGUUGUUGUUGUUGUUGUUCAUCUGCUGGGUCAAGGCUUGCAAAAUCUGAGUCUGUGCAGCCAGUAGUUGCUGCAUAGUGGCGGCGUUGUUGUCCUGACCCUCCUCAUUGUUGUUGUCAGCAAGGCGGCGAGUAUCGCGUCUCGGCGGCAUCUGUUUUGGGACAGCAUAGAUGAGAAAAUAGAUAGACAGGAUCUAAGAGAAAACUAAGCCCCACAGCACAGGCAAUACAACAGUUCAAACAACAAGCAUAACACAAGCAUGGCAAUUCAAUCGUGAAACAUGUCAUCUAUAAAACAAGCAAAAGCAUUCACUAGGAUUUUAACAUCCAAGACAAAUAGUUCACAAGGCGUACUAGCCCAAAACACAAGUGAAAAGCUGCAAGUAAAAACACGAAUCUACAUUGCCAUACCACAACGACGGCAUGGUCAAUGACUAACACGAUAACGAAUAUAGUAUAAUGAAUAAUUUGGCGGGCUCUAAGCUGAAACUAAGGAAGUGAAAGGAAGUUGGUGUUCCCGGAGUUCUUUUCCCUAGAACGGGUGCGGGUGGCAGGUGUGUCCAUCUCCUGCGCCUCCUGAGGUUCCUCCUCCUGUGGCUCCAUCUCCUCGUCCUGAGGGGGUGGUGGAACUUGUGCCGGUGCAAGUGCAGGGUUGGCAUUGUUGACCUGGGCUUGGAGCUAAUCAUACUGAAGUUGUAGGAGAUCCUUCUCGUACAUAAUCUGCUCCAUGAUCGCGUGCAUGUUCAGGAUAACAUCUCCCCUGCGGUUCACCUCAUUUGUCUUCAACGUCAGUUGACCUUGGAGUAUCCCCACCUGGUCUUUAGCUAUAUCUGCACGGGUCAUCUCGUUGUAGAGACUCUUUCCUAUGUCCACCAUGUUCUGCUCCAGAGCUUGAAACUGAACAUCCUCCAUGUGCGGAUCCUCGCCUAGGAUCUCCGGUCCCACGGCAUUCCCGCCAACAACUCGCCUUCCGAAGCUACGGAAAACAGAGUUCGGAGGCAGUUCAUCAUGGUACGCCUCGCACACACGAGCUAUCGCAUGUUGCAUGGCGAACUGGAGUCCCAGCAUGAAGUCGGGGUAGCGCACGGAGUAGGUGAUGUCGGGCGUCAAUGGAACAACAGUCCGUCCUUUGAUCUCCGUGUCGAUCUCCCAGCGGCGUGCACCUCCCUGGGAUCCCACCGGCUCAGCACGUCCUCGGAAACAGGGUGCUGCCAGGUGCAGUGUCGUGCACAAAGUAGCAAGCUGUCUCCCAAACGGGAUGUCGUCGUCAACUGUCGGGUAAUGGACGUGUGUGAAAGGUGGCUCAUCUCCGAAAUUUGGUGGACCCUUCAUCUACAAGAUUUAUGGUGGAGGGAAGGAAUUAGUCAUAUGAUCAAGUAGGUGGAUGCAUAAAUGUAAUAAUGACAAUAUAAGGUGUAUGUUAUGCAAACAUGACGUAUGAUUGUAAUAGUGGAAAGCAUGACAUUGUAGUAUGAGGUGUAUAUAUAAAUGCAUAUAAAAUCUGAGGAUGCAAGUGGAUGAAGUAAAACACAAGUAGUACAUAUGCAUUGGUCAUUGGUAUGAUUGUAAGUGUAUAUGAAUAUGCAAGUAUCACAAUAUGCAAAUUUAGAGUGGUAUGAAAUGCAUAGAACAAUCCUAUGGUCUCUUUUGGUCUAAUCCAUGCUAGGGUCACGUUCCUACAGGCAACACAAUGCUCUGAUACCAUCUGAAGCGACCGCCCCUGUAUACGGGUUCGAUCUCUGUGCUUUAGUGCUAGUCCCUGGAUCGACUCACUAGCACACACAGUUUCAAGAUGUAAUAUCAUAGAACAAAGGUCUCAAUAUUACAACGAAUCAUCCAGAAUUUAAAGGUACUUACAACUCGCAUAAGCUCACCGGUUAGCUGAAAAUAAAACAACUGUUUAGCAGCGGAAAACGGAAGAUACAAGGGCACAUCAACACCACGGUGAGAGCGUGUUGGAAUGUAAGCCCGUAACCCAAACAAGUAGAACGUACAUCUUACUCGUCGUCGGAGCUUCCUGCAUCAUUAAACGACGCAGCCACUAGGGUCAAUACAUUGAAUGUAUUGGCAAGAUUCACUAGGAGUUAUAGCAGAGCUACCAAAUAUAUGCAUAAUGUGGCAAAGUAGGGUUCAAGCUAUUUGCUUAAAAGCUUAGUUAUUGAAUCCUAUCUUUUAAUCAAAUAGAAUUUUAUCACUAUUGGACACGGGGUAGACACACCCAUGCUCCUAUUAUCCUAGAGCACAUUGAUGUGGAUUCAUCAAGUGCUCCUACCCUGUUCAACCAUUCAUUUUAUUUAAGAAGUUAGAAUGAGUGAGACUUUCCUUACAGCUCCACAUCUAGUCGCUCAAAUUGUCCGUUGCCGGGGACACGGCUAAGUACUUAGUUUUGACGCUCUCGAGAGUUUGUACACAUUCCCCACAAGAAACCGACGUGUUAAUCCCUUGCUGUCCUCAGGGUAGAGUAGCAACGGCAUCGAUUACGAGAUUUUCAAAGGUAAUUCCCUAAACACGAGAGAAUCACGCUCCCCCUACACGGCUACCUCAGUACAAUUCUUCGGGUUUAGGUUCAUACAACUUACUCUUGUCUCGCCAGAGCCCAUAUAGCAUUGUGGUUGUACUAGAAGCUUCUAAAUAGGAAACUAGUCCAAUCUCGGUUACCCCAGGUGGCAUUCCACAUUUGCAACGUAGGCGCUCUCCGAAUCCACGGGAUAGACGUCCAUGGACGAUCCAUUCCUGAAUCCACAGGAACUCGACUCAGAGGGACCCAUAGAAAUGGACCUGACGCCGCUAAUCCUCAAAAUCUUCAAAGCAGCCCACCCAGGACGGUUCAUUGAAUUAUUUGUUUUGCCUUACAUCUAACAAAACAUUUCAUAUCGCCAAAGGCAUAACAAUAUCAUAAUGUAGUUAUUUCCCCCACGAUACUACCAUAGCCUAGCAUUCAACUACAAUCGAUGGCAAUUUGGUAGCAAGGUAAUGGCGAGGGUAAACUAGACUACCUGGGAUUUAUAGCUAGCAUAGAAGUACGAGUAAUAUUCCUGAUGCAUCUAAUAAAACAUCUAGUGCAUAGUAAAAAUAUUUAGGAGAAUGAUCAAAGUGAACUUGCCUUGUCCAAGGUUGUGGUAGUUCUCGCACUCUUCGCAACAACAAUGAUUACACUCCACACAAUCUAAAAUAAAAGGAACACACACAAUAAACACAACACUCAAUACAAAAUCAUGCCAUGAUGCAUAUGCUAUGAUGAUGCACAACGAAGGUUACUUCUAAAGUAAAAAGUUUCAUUUCCGUUUUGAAAAGUUUUUCAAAUGAUUUGGAGAGAUUAUACACCAAUAAGGAGUUAACAAAUAUGCAUGAAACAUGGAUAGGGUUUAAAACAAAAAAUUGUGCGGCUUUUGUAACAUAGAGCAAGAUUUAAACUUGUAAGCCAUUUUUAUUCGCAAAACAAUUUCUUUUCUGGUCCUAAUGGACAGACAACAAGUUUAAAUAAUUUUACAGAAAGAUAACAUGCUAAAAACUAUUUUGAAACAAUUCAUUUGAAAUUUAAAACAUAAACCACCAAUCUGUAAAUAGCUACUGUCUAAGUUGUUCAAAACUGAAAUUAAACAGUGCCAAAAUAUUCUACACGUUGUGACGAUUCCAGAAAGGUAUGGAACACAAUUUUUGGAUAAACGGUUUAAAAGAUAUAAGGUUUUGAAGUUGUAGGGGCUUUUCUGCAAAAUUGCAUUAUCCAAUUUGGCCGAAUUAAAAUAAAACAAAAGUUUUUGCCACGUGGCAGCGUGGGAUAGGCCGGGAUCUAGGGUUCCGGCCGGCGGCUAGCUCGCCGGUGGCGCCGCGGGGCGGCACGGCGCACGGGCGCGGGGCGGAGCGCGGGACGGGGGCGGAGUGGCCGGAUUUGGACUCCGGAUGCGGCCUGGGUGAUUAAAACAAAUUCGGGUCUCCUGGCAGCUCGGACCCGAAUCGGAUUCAACUUUAAUCCGUGAUAUCUUUCUCUAGCAAGCUCCGAAUCAUGUGCCGUUUGAUUUGUUGGAAAGUACACUUGAAAUCCUUCCCUCUCAGCUAUAUGAACGCUUGAUUCUUGUUGGCCCUCCAGUUCGCCUCCAUCGUAUCUCAUCUUGACCUUGCACUUGAAAAGCUCAACAAGAUGCCUACGUAAUAAAACGAGACAAGAUAGUAGUAGCUCCCCCUCUUCAUAAAUAUGACAAUGAAAACAAUUACUACUUGAAUUCACCUGAUUAUAAAUCUUGUCAAAUAUUAUAGAAUUGAGGGUACCAAAGGUUGUAUCCCUGGUUAGCAUGUCCAUAUCAAGAUUUGUUUGAUUUGCUAAUCCUAGUACCUCAAACGGGAACGUUCCGGAUCAAAGUUUAGCAACGACUCCGAUAUGCCGAAUUGUAUGCCCUAGUGAGGGACCAUGCCUAGCCAGUAUGUACAAGUGGUCCAGUCUUGUUUUGCUUCGAUGAGUAGCUUUUUUUGGUGUGCUCAUAUUAUAACGCCAAACCGACCCGUUCCGCAACAAAGUUUAGCAUCGACUCCGAUUUGCCGAAUUGUCCGCUCUAAUUAGGGACCAUGGCUAGCGAGUCCGUAAUAGUGGUCUAGUCUUCUUUCGCUUCGAUGAGUAUCUUUGUUUGGUGUGCUCAUUCUAGUACCCGAAAUGGACCUAAGUCAGAGUAGAAGUUUAGCACCGACUCCGAUCUGGCCGAAUUGUCCGUCCUAGUGAGGGACCAUGCCUAGCGAGUCCGUACAAGUGGUCAAGUCCUGUUUCGCUUCGACGAGUAGAUUUGUUUGGUUUGCUCAUCCUAAUACCUCAAACGGGCUGUUCCGGAUCAACGUUUAGCACGGACUCCGAUUUGGCCGAAUUGUCCGCCCUAGUGAGGGACCAUGCCUAGCCAGUCUGUACAAGUGGUCUAGUCUUCUUUCGCUUCGAUGAGUAACUUUGUUUGGUGUGCUCAUUCUAGUACCCGAAAUGGACCUAAGUCAGAGUAGAAGUUUAGCACCGACUCCGAUCUGGCCGAAUUGUCCGUCCUAGUGAGGGACCAUGCCUAGCGAGUCCGUACAAGUGGUCAAGUCCUGUUUCGCUUCGACGAGUAGAUUUGUUUGGUUUGCUCAUCCUAGUACCUCAAACGGGCUGUUCCGGAUCAACGUUUAGCACGGACUCCGAUUUGGCCGAAUUGUCCGCCCUAGUGAGGGACCAUGCCUAGCCAGUCUGUACAAGUGGUCUUGUCUUGUUUCGCUUCCAUGACUAGAUUUGUUUGGUUUGCUCAUCCUAGUACCUCAAACGGCCCGUUCCGGAUCAAAGUUUAGCACGGACUAUGAUUUGGCCGAGUUGUCCGCCCUAGUGAACGACCAUGCCUAUCUAAUCCGUACAAGUGGUCUAAUCUUGUUUUGCUUCGAUGAGUAGCGUUGUUUGGUGUGCUCAUCUAAUAACGCCAAACCGAACCGUUCCGGAUCAAAGUUUAGCACCGACUCCGAUUUGCCGAAUUGUCCGCCCUAAUGCGAGACCAUGCCUAGCGAGUCCGUGCAAGAGGUCUAGUCUUCUUUCGUUUCGAUGAGUAUCUUUGUUUCGUGUGCUCAUUCUUGUAGCCGAAACUGGCCUAAGUCAGAGUGGAAGUUUAGCACCGACUCCGAUCUGGCCGAAUUGUCCGUCCGAGUGAGGGACCAUGCCUAGCGAGUCCGUACAAGUGGUCUAGUCUUGUUUCGCUUCGAUGAGUAUCUUUCUUUGGUUUGCUCACCCUAGUACCUCAAACGGACCUGUUCCCGAUCAAAGUUUAGCACCGACUCCGAUUUGCCGAAUUGUCCGCCCUCAUGAGGGACCAUGCCUAGCUAGUCCGUACAAGUUGUCUAGUCUUGUUUCGCUUCGAUGAGUAGAUUUGUUUGGUUUGCUCAUCCUAGUACCUCAUACGGGCAAGUUCCGCAUCAAAGUUUAGCACGGACUCCGAUUUGGCCGAAUUGUCCGCCCUAGUGAGGGACAAUGCCUGUCUAGUCCGUACAAGUGGUCUAAUCUUGUUUUGCUUCGAUGAGUAGCUUUGUUUGGUGUGCUCAUCUUAUAACGCCAAACCGAACCGUUCCGGAUCAAAGUUCAGCACCGACUCCGAAUUGCCGAAUUGUCCGCCCUAAUGUGGGACCAUGCCUAGCGAGUCCGUGCAAGUGGUCUAGUCUUCUUUCGCUUCGAUGAGUAUCUUUGUUUCGUGUGCUCAUUCUAGGACCCGAAAUGGGCCUAAGUCAGAGUGGAAGUUUAGCACCGACUCCGAUCUGGCCGAAUUGUCCAUCCUAGCGAGGGACCAUGCCUAGCGAGUCCGUACAAGUGGUCUAGCCAUGUUUCGCUUCGAUGAGUAUCUUUCUUUGGUUUGCUCACCCUACUACCUCAAACGGACCUGUUCUCGAUCAAAGUUUAGCACCGACUCCGAUUUGCCGAAUUGUCCGCCCUAGUGAGGGACCAUGCCUAGCAAGUCCGUACAAGUUAUCUAGUCUUGUUUCGCUUCGAUGAGUUGAUUUGUUUGGUUUGCUCAUCCUAGUACCUCAUACGGGCAAGUUCCGCAUCAAUGUUUAGCACGGACUCUGAUUUGGCCGAAUUGUCCGCCCUAGGGAGGGACCAUGCCUGUCUAGUCCGUACAAGUGGUCUAAUCUUGUUUUGCUUCGAUGAGUAGCUUUGUUUGGUGUGCUCAUCUUAUAACGCCAAACCGAACCGUUCCGGAUCAAAGUUUAGCACCGACUCCGAAUUGCCGAAUUGUCCGCCCUAAUGUGGGACCAUGCCUAGCGAGUCCGUGCAAGUGGUCUAGUCUUCUUUCGCUUCGAUGAGUAUCUUUGUUUCGUGUGCUCAUUCUAGUACCCGAAAUGGGCCUAAGUCAGAGUGGAAGUUUAGCACCGACUCCGAUCUGGCCGAAUUGUCCAUCCUAGCGAGGGACCAUGCCUAGGGAGUCCGUACAAGUGGUCUAGCCAUGUUUCACUUCGAUGAGUAUCUUUCUUUGGUUUGCUCACCCUACUACCUCAAACGGACCUGUUCUCGAUCAAAGUUUAGCACCGACUCUGAUUUGCCGAAUUGUCCGCCCUAGUGAGGGACCAUGCCUAGCUAGUCCGUACAAGUUGUCUAGUCUUGUUUCGAUUCGAUGAGUUGAUUUGUUUGGUUUGCUCAUCCUAGUACCUCAUACGGGCAAGUUCCGCAUCAAAUUUUAGCACGGACUCCGAUUUGGCCGAAUUGUCCGCCCUAGUGAGGGACCAUGCCUCUCUAGUCCGUACAAGUGGUCUAAUCUUGUUUUGCUUCGAUGAGUAGCUUUGUUUGGUGUGCUCAUCUUAUAACGCCAAACCGAACCGUUCCGUAUCAAAGUUUAGCACCGACUGCGAAUUGCCGAAUUGUCCGCCCUAAAGCGGGACCAUGCCUACUGAGUCCGUGCAAGUGGUCUAGUCUUCUUUCGCUUCGAUGAGUAUCUUUGUUUCGUGUGCUCAUUCUAGUUCCCGAAAUGGGCCCAAGUCAGAGUAGAAGUUUAACACCGACUCCGAUCUGGCCGAAUUGUCCGUCGUAGUGAGGGACCAUGCCUAGCGAGUCCGUACAGGUGGUCUAGUCUUGUUUUGCUUCGAUGAGUAUCUUUCUUUGGUUUGCUCACCCUAGUACCUCAAACGGGCACGUUCCGGAUCAAUGUUUAGCACCGACUAUGAUUUAGCCGAAUUGUCCGUCCUGGAGAGGGACCGCGCCUAGCGAGUCCGUACAAGUGGUCUAGUCUUAUUUCGCUUCGAUGAGUAGCUUUGCUUUGUGUGCUCAUCCUAGUACCCUAAAUGGACCCGACUCCGAUUAGAAGUUUAGCACCGACUCCGAUCUUGCGGAAUUGUCCGUCCUAGUGAGGGAGCAUGCCUAGCGAGUCCGUACAAGUGGUAUAGUCUUGUUUCGCUUCGAUGAGUAGAUUUGUUUGGUUUGCUCAUCCUAGUACCUCAAACGGGCCCCUUCCGGAUCAAAGUUUAGCAUGGACUCCGAUGUGGCCGAAUUGUCCGCCCUAGUGAGGGACCAUGCCUAGCUAGUCCGUACAAUGGUCCAAUCUUGUUUCGCUUCGAUGAGUAGCUUUGCUUGGUGUGCUCAUCCUAGUACUCAAAAUGGACCCGACUCCGAAUAGAAGUUUAGCACCGACUCCGAUCUGGCCGAAUUGUCCGUUCUAGUGAGGGACCAUGCCUAGCGAGUCCGUACAAGUGGUCUAGCCAUGUUUCGCUUCGAUGAGUAUCUUUCUUUGGUUUGCUCACCCUACUACCUCAAACGGACCUGUUCUCGAUCAAAGUUUAGCACCGACUCCGAUUUGCCGAAUUGUCCGCCCUAGUGAGGGACCAUGCCUAGCUAGUCCGUACAAGUUGUCUAGUCUUGUUUCGCUUCGAUGAGUUGAUUUGUUUUGUUUGCUCAUCCUAGUACCUCAUACGGGCAAGUUCCGCAUCAAAUUUUAGCACGGACUCCGAUUUGGCCGAAUUGUCCGCCCUAGUGAGGGACCAUGCCUCUCUAGUCCGUACAAGUGGUCUAAUCUUGUUUUGCUUCGAUGAGUAGCUUUGUUUGGUGUGCUCAUCUUAUAACGCCAAACCGAACCGUUCCGGAUCAAAGUUUAGCACCGACUCCGAAUUGCCGAAUUGUCCGCCCUAAAGCGGGACCAUGCCUAGCGAGUCCGUGCAAGUGGUCUAGUCUUCUUUCGCUUCGAUGAGUAUCUUUGUUUCGUGUGCUCAUUCCUAGUAUCACAUCCAAACCUUUUGAUCCUAACACUAUCAGGUCUGUGGGGAAAUUGUGUUUUCCAAUUACUAGUGUUAGCAUUCGGCAUUCACAAGCCGUUAUCAUCUCUCCCCCAGGUGACUUCACCUUCAUAGGGUUCACUAAGGUACUAGUGUUUAAUCCAUUCUCAUGAACAAAACUCCUUGAGAUAAAAGAAUGCGAUGCACCGGUAUCAAACAGUACGAGUGCUUCAAAAGAAUUUAGACGGAAGGUGCCGAUUACGAUACCUUGCUCCUCCGUGAUUUCUUCCACGUUGACGUGGUUCACAUUGCCCUUCUGAAAUGGGUUAGGCUUUGCUCCAGCCUCAUUGAACUUCUCCGGACAAUCGUUGGAGUAGUGCCCCAUCUUGUGACACUUAAAGCAUUGCACUUGGCUCAUAUCCCUGCCAGUGGUGCGGUUCUGUCCUGAGUUUCCUCCAUUGUUAUGGCCACUGCCUUUGUUGCUGUUGAUCCUUGGAUGCUGGUGUUGGUGUUGGUGCUGGUGGUUCCAGCUGCCAUUUCCUCCCUGGUGGUGGUGGUGGUGUCCUUGAUUUCCAUGGCGAUGAUAGUGUCCACUCCCUCCAUGGUGACUCUGAUGAUUUCCACCAUGCUUAACCCUCGAGGAGCUGCCACUACCCUCGUACGAGGUGCGCGGCUUCUGGUGUGGACCAGCGUGGUUGUUGCCAUGGUGAGGCCUCUUCCUUCUGUUCUCCAUCUGAUUCUGCUUGUUCUCUAGAAUGAUGGCUUUGUCCAUGAGGGACUGGUAUGUAGGGAUGUAAACAACUGCCAGUUGAACGGCGAGUUCGUCGUUCAAGCCAUCCAAAAAUCUUUCCCGGUGUUUAGCAUCGGUGUUGACGUCAUCCGGGGCAUAGCGAGACAACUUGUUGAAAGCUUCGAUGUACUCUGACACAGUCCUGUUCCCUUGCCUCAGUUUGUGGAAUUCCCUUUUCUUCAAGCUCAGCACGCCUGCAGAGAUGUGGGCGGUGCGGAAGGCUUCUUGGAACAUUUCCCAUGUGACUUCUUCCAUGGGUGUGGUCAUCUGAUAAGUCUCCCACCAAGCAGGUGAGCAGCAAACCUCACCUUGUCAGCUUCAGUGCAGCCAACUGUCACUAGGCAUUUGCUCACAGAACGGAGCCAAUCAUCAGCUACAAUCGGUUCCGGGGAGCUGGUGAAUGUUGGUGGACGCAGCCUCAGAAACCUGGUUAACAUGUCCACGUGAGGUGGUGGGUUGGGGUUCUGGUUGUUGUGGUUGUUGUUGUUGUUGUUGUUGUUCAUCUGCUGGGUCAAGGCUUGCAAAAUCUGAGUCUGUGCAGCCAGCAGUUGCUGCAUGGUGGCGGCGUUGUUGUCCUGACCCUCCUCAUUGUUGUUGUCAGUAGGGCGGCGAGUAUCGCGUCUCGGCGGCAUCUGUUUCGGGACAGCAUAGAUGAGAAAAUAGAUAGACAGGAUCUAAGAGGAAACUAAGCCACACAACACAGGCAAUACAACAGUUCAAACAACAAGCAUAACAAUUCAAUUAUGAAACAAGUCAUCAAAAAAAAACAAGCAAUAGCACUCACUAGGAUUUUAACAUCCAAAACGAAUAGUUCACCCGGCGUACCAGCCUAAACACAAGUAUAGAGUUGCAAAUAAACACACGAAUCUACAUUGCCAUACCAAAACGACGGCAUGGUCAAUGACUAACACGAUAACGAAUAUAGUAUAAUAAAUAGUCCAGCGGCUCUAAACUGAAACUAAGGAAGUGAGAGGAAGUUGGUGUUCCCGGAGUUCUUCGCCCUGGAACGGGUGCGGGUGGCAGGUGUGUCCAUCUCCUGCGCCUCCUGAGGUUCCUCCUCCUGUGGCUCCAUGUCCUCGUCCUGAGGGGGUGGUGGAGCUUGUGCUGGUGCCGGUGCAGGGUUGGCGUUGUUGACCUGGGUUUGGAGCUGAUCAUACUGAAGUUGCAGAAGAUCCUUCUCGUACAUAAUCUGCUCCAUGAUCGCGUGCAUGUUCAGGAUAACAUCUCCCCUGCGGUUCACCUCGUUUGUCUUCGUCGUCAGUUGACCUUGGAGUAUCCCCACCUGGUCUUCAGCUAUAUCUGCACGGGUCAUCUCGUUGUAGAGACUCUUUCCUAUGUCCACCAUGUUCUGCUCCAGAGCUUGAAACUGAACAUCCUCCAUGUGUGGAUCCUCGCCUAGGAUCUCCGGUCCCACGGCAUUCCCGCCAACAACUCGCCUUCCGAAGCUACGAAAGACAGAGUCCGGAGGCAGUUCAUCAUGGUACGCCUCGCACACACGAGCUAUCGCAUGUUGCAUGGCGAACUGGAGUCCCAGCAUGAAGUCGGGGUAGCGCACGGAGUAGGUGAUGUCGGGCGUCAAUGGAACAACAGUCCGUCCCUUGAUCUCCGUGUCGAUCUCCCAGCGGCGUGCACCUCCCUGAGAUCCCACCGGCUCAGCACGUCCUCGGAAACAAGGUGCUGCCAGGUGUAGUGUCGUGCACAAAGUAGCAAGCUGCCUCCCAAACGGGAUGUCAUCGUCAACUGCCGGGUAAUGGACGUGUGUGAAAGGUGGCUCAUCUCCGAAAUUUGGCGGUCCAUUCAUCUACAAGAUUGAUGGUGGGGGAAAAGAAUUAGUCACAUGAUCAAGUAGGUGGAUGCAUAAAUGUAAUAAUGACAAUAUAAGGUGUAGGUUAUGCAAACAUGACGUAUGAUUGUAAUAGUGGAAAGCAUGAUAUUGUAGUAUGAGGUGUAAAUAAAUGCAUACAAAAUCUUUAGAUGCAAAUGGAUGAAAUAAAAUACAAGUAGUACAUAUGCAUUGGACCUUGGUAUGAUUGCAAGUGUAUAUGAUUAUGCAUGUAUCUCAAUAUGCAAAUUUAGAGUGGUAUGAAAUGCAUAGAACAAUCCUAUGGUCUCUUUUAGUCUAAUCCAUGCUAGGGUCACGUUCCUACAGGCAACACAAUGCUCUGAUACCAUCUGAAGCGACCGCCCCCGUAAAAGGGUUCGAUCUCUGUGCUUUAGUGCUAGUCCCUGGAUCGACUCACUAGCACACACAGUUUCAAGAUGUAAUAUCAUAGAACAAAGGUCUCAAUAUUACAACGUAUCAUCCAGAAUAUAAAAGGGUACUUACAAUUCGCAUAACCUCAUGGGUUAGCUAGAAAUAAAACAAUUGUUUAGCAGCGGAAAACGGAAGAUACAAGGGCACAUCAACACCACGGUGAGAGCGUGUUGGAAUGUAGGCCCGUAACCCAAAUAUGCAGAACGUACGUCUUACUCGUCGUCGGAGCUUCCUGCAUCAUUAGACGAUGCAGCCACUAGGGUCAAUACAUUGAAUGUAUUGGCAAGAUUCACUAGGAGUUAUACCAGAGCCUACCAAAUAUAUGCAUAGUGUGGUAAAGUGGGGUUCAAGCUAUUUGCAUAAAAGCUUAGUUAUUGAAUCCUAUCUUUUAAUCAAAUAGAAUUUUAUCACUAUUGGACACGGGGUAGACACACCCAUGCUCCUAUUAUCCUAGAGCACAUUGAUGUGGAUUCAUCAAGUGCCCCUACCCUGUUCAACCAUUCAUUUUAUUUAAGAAGUUAGAAUGAGUGAGACUUUUCUUACAGCUCCACAUCUAGUCGCUCAAAUUGUCCGUUGCCGGGGACACGGCUAAGUACUUAGUUUUGACGCUCUCGAGAGUUUGUACACAUUCCCCACAAGAAACCGACGUGUUAAUCCCUUGCUGUCCUCUGGGUAGAGUAGCAACGGCAUCGAUUACGAGAUUUUCAGAGGUAAUUCCCUAAACCACGAGAGAAUCACGCUGCCCCUACACAGCUACCUCAGUACAAUUCCUCGGGUCUAGGUUCAUACAACUUACUCUUGUCUCGCCAGAGCCCAUAUAGCAUUGUGGUUGUACUAGAAGCUUCUAAAUAGGAAACUAGUCCAGUCUCGGUUACCCCAGGUGGCAUUCCACAUUUGCAACGUAGGCGCUCCCCGAAUCCACGGGAGAGACGUCCAUGGACGAUCCAUUCCUGAAUCCACAGGAACUCGACUCAGAGGGACCCAUAGAAAUGGACCUGACGCCGCUAAUCCUCAAAAUCUUCAAAGCUGCCCACCCAGGACGGUUCAUUUAAUUAAUUGUUUUGCCUUACAUCUAAUAAAAUCAUUUCAUAUCGCCAAAGGCAUAACAAUAAAUAAUGUAGUUAUUUCCCCCACGAUACUACCAUAGCCUAGCAUUUAACUACAAUCGAUGGCAAUAUGGUAGCAAGGUAAUGGCGAGGGUAAACUAGACUACCUGGGAUUUAUAGCUAGCAUAGAAGUACGAGUAAUAUUCCUGAUGCAUCUAAUGAAACAUCUAGUGCAUAGUAAAAAUAUUUAGGAGAAUGAUCAAAGUGAACUUGCCUUGCCCAAGGUUGUGGUAGUUCUCGCACUCUUCGCAACAACAAUGAUUACACUCCACACAAUCUAAAAUAAAAGGAACACACACAAUAAACACAACAUUCAAUACAAAGACCAUGCCAUGAUGCACAUGCUAUGCUGAUGCACACAAAGGUUACUUCUAACGUACAAAGUUUUGUUUCUGUUUUAAAAAGGCUCUCAAAAGAUUUGGACAGGUUAUACAACAUCAAAGUGGUAAUUAAUAUGCAAGAAACAUGGAUAGGCUUUUGUAACAUAGAGCAAUAUUUAACUUGCAUGCCAUGAUUAUACACAAAAUAAUUUCUUCUCUGGUCCUAAUGGAUAGAGAACAACUUUAAAUAAUUUUACAGCAAGAUAACAUGCUCAAAACUAUUUUGAAACAAUUCAUUUGAAAUUUGAACCAUAUUCAACCCUUCUGUAAAUAGCUACUGUCUAAGUUGUUCAAAACUGAAAAUAAACCGUGCCAAAAUAUUCUACACAUUACGACGAUUCCAGAAAGGUGCGGAACACAAAUUUUGGACAAACGGUUUGAAAGAUAUAAAGGUUUGAAGUUGUAGGGUCUUUUCUGCAAAAGUGCAUUAUCCACUUCGGCCGAAAAUAAAAUAAAAUAAAAUAAAUAAAUAAAAACCCUGCCACGUGGCAGCGCGGGACUGGCCGGUUUCUAGGGUUCCGGCCGGCGGCUAGCUCGCCGGCGGCGGCGCGGGGCGGCGCGGGCAGGGGCAGCGCGGGCAAGCAGCAGGGGCGGCGCGCGCACGGCGGCGGCGGGCGGCGCAGGGCCGCGGGUCGCGCGGGCUGCGCGGAGGCGGCGCGCGGGAGGAGCGGGGUGGCGCAGGCGGCUGCGCGGGCACGGACAGCGCGCGGAGGGCGGCGGGCGGCGCGGCGCACGGGCGCGGGCAGGGGUGCGGCCAGGCGGCGCGCGGACGGCGGCCAGCGCUGAGGAAGAUGACCGGCGCGGCGGCCGGAGGCGGCGGCGGCGGCCAAACGCCAAGGCGAGCGCGUCACGACGUUCGGGACGGGGAGAGGAGAGAGGCUAGGGGAGUGGCGCGGGAAGAACCUCACCGGAACGGCGGAGAAACGCGAAGAAUGGCGGUGGCAGCAACAAACUCCGGCGAGCAAUUACUUUCUAACCGGUGCGAAAUUGAACGUGGGGUUUGGGGGAAGUGGAGGAGAAAAGCGAGGCCUUCGGGGUGACGCGCAAGGAUUUGGAGAAAACGGCCUGAGCGCGGAGAAAUCGGAGGUGGAGUCAUGGGCAGUUCGCGGGCGUGCGUGGCCGGAUUUUUCGGACGGAGGUUGAAGAUGACGCGUGGGUCCCACCGGUCAGUGAGAGCGGGUGGCUCGGGCGGGCUGAGCCGGUCCGGUUCGGUUUUCCUCGGUUUUUCCUUUUCUUUUAUCUAUUUUCUGUUUUCGAACCUCAAAAUUGAUUCGGAGCUCCAAAUCACUCCAAAUAAAAUGCAACAAAAUUUGUAAAAUCAUAUUUUCAUAUGAUCUAACUUUUGGAGCAAGAAUUUUCUCAAAAUAAAAUAUUUAAAAAUAUAUUUGCAUAUAAAAUGGCUUUUAUGGCCCUUAGGCUAUCGAAUCAAAUUAUUUUUUUCAAAAUACUUUCAAAAGCCAAUUAUGGGAUAGCUUUAUAUAUGCAUUAAAUCCCUUUUUAUCACAAUACCCUCAUGGGUUAAAAAUGCAAAUAGUCAAGAGCAAGAUCAAAGCCCAAAAACAAAUAAAAGCAUUUUUGCAAAAGGGUUUUCUGGGAAAACUUUAGUGUUUUGAAAGUGUUCAGAUGCAAGGGUGACAUGAUGCUUAUGAUAUGCAAUGCAUAUGAAGAAUUUUGAAAAUUGGGAUGUUACAGUAAUAGGGUCCAGCCAAUUUUUAGAUGUUUUCGUUGUGUUUUAGGAGGAUUCCUAGGCCGUUUCGGAGUCCCUCAAGGGCCUGUCCGAAAACCACCUAGUUCCCCUCCUAUUUAUACCCCAUGAGCCCCCCCAUGGAGCCUGGGGUUUUGAUUAGAUAAAGUUUAGCCUUUGGUACUUUCGUGUAAUCGCGUGUGUCGGUUAGACCACCUGUUUUACCGUCAUCAAGACUCCAACUAUAUUGAAUAUUCAGAUUCGUGAACCUUCAUAUCUCCUAUUCGCAAUUUCAGAUUGCUUUUCAUCUUGUUCUUGAUUGUUCUUCGAUUGCUUGCAGGAACAAAGACCUUCGUGGUCAGGUUGAUCGUGCCCCCGCGGGAUCAAUAACCUUCUGGAGUUGGUGUAUCGAUCGCUAAGGCGCUGCCUCCUAGGUUGUAGUCGGAUCGUCAACGUCACCUCCUACCAAAUCGAUAAUUAGGUAUCUCAUCGAAAGAUCGGAACACACUCGAGGCUAUCACGUGGUAUCAGAGCUUAAGGUUGCUCGGUGAGAUUUUUCCAGUUUAUCCGUAGUUUAGAUCUGUUUUUACCUAUCGUCCAGAAAAAAACCAAACAAAAAUUAGAAUUAGUUACCUUGUCCUAGAACCAAUCUGAGCCUUGCAAUUUUCACAUUAGUAUUUGCAUUGUUGAAUCUUUGCUGCAUUAAUCGUGUCGAGUUGCUGGAUUAGAUUGGAUCGUUUUUCAGAUUUUUUCUACUAGAUCAAACUUGUUUUUGUCUUUUGAUUUCGUGUGACGCAGGCUUUCCAUCAAACUUCCGCCCCCAAACUUCCUGCCACGCCACCGCCAUAAUCUUCCGCCGCCACCAUAUCUUCCACCGAGUCCCUCUUCGAGUCCUGCACCGAGUAUUUCUUCGAGUCCUGCACCGAGUAUUUCUUCGAGUCCUGCACCGAGUAUUUCUUCGAGUCCUGCACCGAGUAUUUCUUCGAGUCCUACACCAAGUCCCUCGUCGAGUCCUACAUCGAGUCGGCAAGUUAUAGUUUUCAGCCGCGAGUUCGAGUCCGAGUCUAAUCAAGAGUGCUUUUGGAAAGUGUUUCAUAAUAGAUCGAAUUUUGUUUAGAGGUCAAGUUGUUCGGGAAGUUGUGAAAAAAAAAGAAAGGAAAAAAAAGGAAAGAAAGAAAAAAAAAAGCAAAAACAAAAGAGGAAGAGUUCGAGUCAGUUUCGGACCCGAGUCCAAGUAGAAUUAGAUUUUCGGGUGGGUUUGACCCGUGUUCACUAAAACGGCCGUAUCUUUUGCAUACGAAGUCAGAUUUGGACGUGCCAAGACUUUUCGGAAAGCUCUCGACGAGGCGGCGCAUCCUCUAAAAUUAACGGCUCCUUGACCCUCAAAUUCGGCCUCUAAGGUGGACUUUUCGUGCUACGAAGUUUCUGCACCCGUUUUUCGGCACCGGGGCAGUGCAGUAUAUCUCAGUUUUCUCCACCGUCCGACCUCUGUUUCGAGUGAUCUUGCACUUGUUGGAAAGCUUGUUUUGAUACGCUUCUGACCCAUAUUUUCUCAUAUUUUUCUGAGUUUUCCUUACUACAGCCUUUGCUAUUCUCCUACAGACCGACGUGCAGCUUUCCGGUCUUAACUUCUUUUGCGUGAGUUUCUGGGUUUAAAAAAAAAGAAAAAAAAAUAGAAAAGAAUAAGAAGCCAAACAGAAGGCCACAAAAAAGAAAAAAAAAGAGAAAAAGUAUUCCCCAGAGAUUUACUUGUUUUACCUUUCAUUUGAUCUUUCCUUUCUACCUUUUUCAGUAUCUAGGCUUAGUUAAUUUCUGUAAUUCGUUCUUCUCGACUCCAGCAGCUAGGACUCGCAUUUUUUAGCAUAUUUUCAACUUUGCAUUGCUGAUUUGAUUAUUCGCUUUUCCUUGCUACUCACAUAAGCCUCCAAGCUCCACAGAUUCUACACCUAGCUUGGUUUGCCUCGAGGCAUCGAUACAGUAAUCUUCGGAGGGCUUGUUCUCGCCGCUGGCCAUCACCUUUCUGGUUGCUGGGUAAGAACGAGUAAGAACUUGAUUAAAAGUUGAGUGGAGUGAUCUUUGGAACCCCACAUCCUAGUAGUGCAUAGGGACUUUUCCUUGUGAUUUUUUUUCUUGUUUUCUCCUAACGAUGGCAGGUUCUGACGAUGAUUUACAAGGCCACUAUCCACGCACAAAGGGCAUUAUUUCACAUUUUGAUCGCAAGCUUAGGCUUCGUAACGAGGAGCUGGAUGAGGACGUUCGGGUUGCGAAUGAGAGACUUGGAACCUUGGAGAGAGCGCACAUUGAAACAAAUACCAAGCUAACAUCUUUACAGAAUUCUGUUGCUACCAUUAGUACUUCUCUGGCAGAAAUCACGACGCAACUGGCGGCACUUGCUGCAACGACCAUCGCUACACCGGGAGGGAACAAUACACACAACCAGCGGACCGCUAAUAACGGUACCUUCGCAAGCGAGGUUGAGGAGAACGACGACGACUACUCCGCGGAUACGGAACACGACGGGGCCGUAAACCAUCACAACGACCGUGAUCAUCGCCAAACUCGUUUCAACCGCCGAGGUAUGGGACCGACACGAUUUCAAAGAGAGGAACAUGACUCGCUGCAUUCUAUUAAACUUAAGGUUCCUCCUUUUGAUGGAAAAUAUGACCCUGAUGCUUACCUUACAUGGGAAUUAGAAUUGAGUCAAAAAUUUACUUGCCAUGAUUUUCCUGCUAAUAAGAGGGUUAGGGCUGCUACUAGUGAGUUUACUGAUUUUGCUUUUGUUUGGUGGCAUGAGUAUUGUAUUGCACAUCCUAACGCUAUACCACCAACAUGGGAUGAUUUGAAAAGAAUUAUGCGCGCU
This 35656-nucleotide long non-coding RNA is filed under the name Brachypodium distachyon (stiff brome). Its description in RNAcentral is "long non-coding RNA (BDIS_LNC000728)". Lineage: Eukaryota; Viridiplantae; Streptophyta; Magnoliopsida; Poales; Poaceae. The record is from RNAcentral.